RNAcentral lists this ribosomal RNA (393 nucleotides) under uncultured bacterium. RNAcentral describes it as "bacterial SSU rRNA". It matches the Rfam family "Bacterial small subunit ribosomal RNA", at positions 29 to 428 of the family's 1533-position model. The record is from RNAcentral.
AGCGAACGUUUGCGGCGGGCCUAACACAUGCAAGUCGAACGCACUAGCAAUAGUGAGUGGCGCACGGGUGCGUAACACGUGGGUAAUCAACCCUUCAGCCUGGGAUAACGACUCGAAAGGGUCGCUAAUACCGGAUACGGCGCGAGAGGCUUCGGCUUCUCACGAGAAAGCCACGCAAGGGGCACUGAAGGACGAGCCUGCGGCCCAUCAGCUAGUUGGUGAGGUAAGAGCUCACCAAGGCUAAGACGGGUAGCUGGUCUGAGAGGAUGAUCAGCCACACUGGAACUGAGACACGGUCCAGACUCCUACGGGAGGCAGCAGUGGGGAAUAUUGCGCAAUGGGCGAAAGCCUGACGCAGCCACGCCGCGUGAGCGAUGAAGGCCUCGGUCGUAA